GCAGUAGCUCAGUCCAUAGGGACUUGGGUUUGGAACCGGAGGGUCGUCUGUUCAAGUCCCCGUCCGGACCAAAAAUAUGGAGCGUGGACUGGUGGCUGGAGAGGUGCCAGUUCACCUCCUGGGCACUGCCGAGGUGCCCUUGAGCAAGGCACUGAACCCCCCAACCGCUCGGGGCGCCUCACCAAGGGCAGCCCCCUCACUCUGAGAUCUCUCCACUUUGUGCAUGUAUAGGUCCUGUUUGUGCAUGUGUGUGUCUUUCAGACCUGUGUGUAAUUGACAAGCAAGAGUGAAAACAUUGAAUUUCUCCUCAGGGGGAUUAAUAAAGUAAAUAAACUUAAACUUAACUUAACUUAAA
This is a long non-coding RNA of Epinephelus moara (kelp grouper), 355 nucleotides long. RefSeq lists it as uncharacterized. The record is from RefSeq and is a predicted model, not a curated record. Lineage: Eukaryota; Metazoa; Chordata; Actinopteri; Perciformes; Serranidae. The transcript is spliced from 2 exons.